This is a long non-coding RNA of Oncorhynchus tshawytscha (Chinook salmon), 1072 nucleotides long. The record is from Ensembl. Lineage: Eukaryota; Metazoa; Chordata; Actinopteri; Salmoniformes; Salmonidae.
UUGUGUUCAGAUUCUGUUCCAUGUUACUUAAAACAUGAAUGGAAAAAUAUUUAACAUAAAAAUGAUUUACAAUGUUCCCCCUCUUUGAGAUGAUUCUGUAUUAUGAAAAGUGCUUGACAAAUGUAAUUUAUUAUUAUUAUUAUUAUUAUCUUAUUCAUCAUAGUUUAAAAGGCAAAACUGACUCUAGAUCAGCACUCCAACUAAGUGGGAAUACAGUAGUCCUGUGGCUCAGUUGGUAGAGUAUGGUGAAUGGGUCCCAAUGGGACCACCGGCAUGAAAGAUGUAUCCACACAUAAUAAGUCACUUUGGUUAAAAGUGUUUCUAAAUGGCAUAUCUUAUGAUAUAAUAAUAUCACUUAGUUGGACUAUACAGGUCCAGAUAUACAGGGUUUAUGUCAAACUUGUGUUCAGGUCCUCUUGGUUCUGGGUUUGUUGUGUUCAGGUCCUCUUGGUUCUGGGUUUGUUGUGUUCAGGUCCUCUUGGUUCUGGGUUUGGUGUGUUCAGGUCUUCUUGGUUCUGGGUUUGUUGUGUUCAGGUCCUCUUGGUUCUGGGUUUGUUGUGUUCAGGUCCUCUUGGUUCUGGGUUUGUUGAGUUCAGGUCCUCUUGGUUCUGGGUUUGUUGUGUUCAGGUCCUCUUGGUUCUGGGUUUGUUGUGUUCAGGUACUCUUGGUUCUGGGUUUGGUGAGUUCAGGUCCUCUUGGUUCAGGGUUUGUUGUGUUCAGGUUCUCUUGGUUCUGGGUUUGGUGAGUUCAGGUCCUCUUGGUUCAGGGUUUGUUGUGUUCAGGUUCUCUUGGUUCUGGGUUUGUUGCGUUCAGGUCUUCUUGGUUCUGGGUUUGUUGCGUUCAGGUCUUCUUGGUUCUGGGUUUGUUGCGUUCAGGUCUUCUUGGUUCUGGGUUUGUUGCGUUCAGGUCUUCUUGGUUCUGGGUUUGUUGCGUUCAGGUCUUCUUGGUUCUGGGUUUGUUGCAUUCAGGUCUUUUUGGUUCUGGGUUUGUUGUGUUCAGGUCUUCUGGGUUUGUUGACUCUACUAUAGAUCUCAGAAGAGUCCUCCUCAGCUGCUUGUGCUGCCGUGGGUCU